CAAUUGGUUUAUUUGAUUGCUAUUGUUGUGAUUUGUUGAUACUGAUUUGAUUGAUGAUUUGAAUGUGAUAAAUCUUCUUACUGAUGUGUUUUUUUAUCAGUUGAAUUUUGCGGAAUGAACAGGUAUCUGGACCUGUCGUGGUGGCAGAUAGUAUGAAUGAGGCUGUUAUGUAUGAAUUGGUGCGUGUUGGUCGUGAUAAUCUCAUUGAUGAAAUUAUUCGUUUGGAAGGGGCUCCGACGCUAUCUAAGGUUCUGCAUAAUUUCACACUACGAUACAAAUCCAAGACGAAACGAUGAGAACUCCGGAAACAAAAACUCAGGUAAGCGUUCAAUCUUGAUUUUCGCUUCCGAUUCUCACUUCCUUUUACUUCUAUGAUGUAAUGCUUUCUAACUCCUCUGUUAAAUUCUUGAGUAAUUAUGAUAAGCAAUGUUGUAGUUUCAUCAUUUCACUAUACAGUCUUUUCAAUCAUGCGUUUCAAUCAUGGGUUGAUUUCAUUAUAGUGUUUUAAGCUACACUGUUAAUCUUCCUGGUGAGUUUAUGUAUUUCUUUGUUCUCUGUAUUUGUUGUUGGAUAUGGAUCUAUCGGAGUUGUGUGUUACAGCGGUUGAAGGUCUUAAUGAUUUGAAUUUUAUGUUUAAUCCAAGUGUUAUUCGUUAUAAGCUGUUUACAAUGUUAUUUGUCAUGAGGAUAAUCCUCAACUCAGAACAAACAUGGAACUGUUAAGGAUCACAAAAGAAAUUGGGAAGGAGAACUAUUGCAUUUUGGAAUCUCAAAUUCAAAUGCUCUUAGGUCGUAUCAGAAUCCAGAGUGUCCUCAAUUUGCAGAGGAGAAAAUCUUCUGCAUUGGUGCCCACGAUAAACAGCAUGUUUUGAAAUGGGAGAAUAGUAUGGCAUGGCAUGGAAAACUCACUCUUACUGAUAAAGCAAUCUAUUUUGAGGAUUACGAAUCUGACAGUGAUAAUGUCGUCUACUUUCAUAGAAAAUAUUAUUUUCUUUCAUAGGAUUUCAUAAGAGAUUUUUGAAUGAAUUUUGGCUCAACUGUUCAAGAGAAUUGGAAGCCUUGAAAAGAGCUUUGAAGGGACACCAAAAAUUGCAAAACCAAAAAGGAGUAGUAAUAAUGAGACAAAUCUUGAUACAUGGCGCAUCCAACCCAAAACACGAAAGAGAUUUGAAGAAAAUACCGGUCUGUUAUGGGAGCACAAAAUCGAGUGAAAAUAUCAACCACAGAAUACAGCAAGAAUCAAUCAGAUGCACAAUUCAAUUUUAUUUAGGUUCAAACACAAUAAAGCAGAGCAACAAUAAUUCGAGUGAAUUUUACAGGUAC
This is a long non-coding RNA of Vicia villosa (hairy vetch), 1322 nucleotides long. RefSeq lists it as uncharacterized. The transcript is spliced from 5 exons. The record is from RefSeq and is a predicted model, not a curated record. NCBI's taxonomy places the organism in Eukaryota, Viridiplantae, Streptophyta, Magnoliopsida, Fabales, Fabaceae.